UUGCCUGUUUCGAUACUCUUUAAUUUCUCACAUUAAUGAAGAAGGUAGGAUACAGUUGUAUGACUUUAAAUAGGAAGAUGAUAAGAAGUUUCCCUUAAAGACUAGGAAUAGUGAAAAAGGUGAAGUCUUGCUCUUUAUUAAGGACCAGAGCUGCCCAAUUAUUUGAGUUAUCUCACCAUAUAUCCAAAGCUGAGAAUUUGCUUGUUAGUCUUUAGCAAUAUUCUUCAAAAUGUCUAACCUUCAUCUUCCAAAAUUUGCAAGUAUGAUGUCUUUUUGAGUUUUAGAGGUGAAGAUACACGUAUAACCUUUAUAAGUCAUCUAAGACGAUGAGUGGUUGGAAACGGGAAAAUCAAUUUCUGAGGAACUCUUGUAAACUAUAGAAGAGUCUAGAAUUGCUGUUGUGAUAUUUUUAAAAAGCUAUGCAUCCUCAAGAUGGUGCUUCGAGGAGCUUGCACACAUCAUAAAGUGCAAAAAUGAAUUGGAGCAGAUUGUGAUUCCAGUCUUGUAUGAUGUGAGUCCAUCAGUUGUGCGCCAUCAAUAUCCCCCUUUCGCUAAGUCAUUUUCCCUACAUGAGGAAAAUUGCAAAGAUGAUUUGGAGAAGGUUCAAAGAUGGAGGGAUGCAUUUGCGGAGGCAGGGAAAAUAUCAGGGUUGAUGAUUCUGCUUGCUAGGACAUCUCGUACCAGCUAUUGGUGAGCCCCAGUCUUCUGGGGCAUUAUCCCUCUUUUUAGUCUUUAUAGUAUUCCAAUUAAUAAGGUAUGUCGGGUGCCUUGUCCUGGUAAACAGUUAGCAUUUUCAGUAUUCUUUAGAGGCUUCAUAGACUAUACUUGCAGUCAGUCAGAUGUUUAGUAGGCUUUUGUGUUAGCCUUGUCGGCUACUUAUUCAGACUUUCAGGCUUAUUCAGUAUUUCCGCUUUUAUGAUAUUUUAGUUAGACUAUAAGUAGAUCAGCAUGUGUUAGUGUUAUUUUCGCUUUCAGAAUAUUUUGAUAUCACAUGUUGAUUCAGCCAGCUAGUUGGUUCGCUUGGUCACAUGUAGUCAGGUAUCGAGUGUCGUGUUAUGCUCAGGCCAUGGUUCGGGGCCUGACAGUGUGACCAAUGCAUACUUCGAGAGCUUCAUUGCUAUACAUCUAUUAGGAAUAUAUAACAUCUCGAUCAAUGAAAUUUAGAGUAGAGUAUAGUAUGUUCUACCCUAGAUCAUUUAUCA
This is a long non-coding RNA of Lycium ferocissimum, 1202 nucleotides long. RefSeq lists it as uncharacterized. The transcript is spliced from 2 exons. Lineage: Eukaryota; Viridiplantae; Streptophyta; Magnoliopsida; Solanales; Solanaceae. The record is from RefSeq and is a predicted model, not a curated record.